RNAcentral lists this ribosomal RNA (250 nucleotides) under uncultured bacterium. Its description in RNAcentral is "partial 16S ribosomal RNA". It matches the Rfam family "Bacterial small subunit ribosomal RNA", at positions 355 to 621 of the family's 1533-position model. The record is from RNAcentral.
CUAGGAAUCUUCCACAAUGGACGAAAGUCUGAUGGAGCAACGCCGCGUGCAGGAUGAAGGCUUUCGGGUCGUAAACUGCUUUUUUCUGUGAUGAUUAUGACAGUAGCAGACGAAUAAGGAUCGGCUAACUCCGUGCCAGCAGCCGCGGUCAUACGGAGGAUCCAAGCGUUAUCCGGAAUUACUGGGCGUAAAGAGUUGUGUAGGUGGUUAAGUAAGCAAUGUGUGAAAUGAUGGGGCUCAACCCUGUGUC